Cajanus cajan (pigeon pea) is the source of this 394-nucleotide long non-coding RNA. RefSeq lists it as uncharacterized. The record is from RefSeq and is a predicted model, not a curated record. Lineage: Eukaryota; Viridiplantae; Streptophyta; Magnoliopsida; Fabales; Fabaceae.
AGUUUGAUUCGAAAAAGCACUCUCUACACAAAGAUAUUCAAUGGCAAAAGCUUCACCACUUGUUUUUUGCUUAAUAGUUUUAUGCCUUGUAGCAUUUGAAACAGGUGUUGCAAAUGCAUGUUACUACCCGUGCCAUUCCAAGGAUUGUCAUAUUUUAACGUGCUACCCUCCUGGCUGUAUAAAAAAAUGCGAAAACUUUUGCUGUGUUUGCGAUUGUCGACCACCUCCUAGUGCAAAUGCUACUGCAAAUGUUUGAUGAAGAAUGGUAAUAAAAAUCAAGUUGAGGGCUUUCAUGCCUCAAAUUAGGAUGUACAAAAUUCCAUGACUGUUGUGGAAUUUUAUCUGUUAUAUGAGAGAAGUUGAAAUAAUAACAUUUUCGAUUCUUCAUCAACAA